UCUCCGUUGGUGAACCAGCGGAGGGAUCAUUAUAGAAUCGACCUUUUCAAGUCAUUCUGGCUCUGCCAAACCCCUGUGAAUUAUACCUUUACUGUUGCUUCGGCGGGUUAACGCCCCGGAAGGCCCAAAAAGCCGCCGGAACCAGGCGCCCGCCGGGGGACCCAAACUCUUGUAUUUCUUACUUUGCAUGUCUGAGUGGAAUCAUAAACAAAUGAAUCAAAACUUUCAACAACGGAUCUCUUGGUUCUG
This 249-nucleotide unclassified non-coding RNA is filed under the name plant metagenome. RNAcentral describes it as "partial contains small subunit ribosomal RNA, internal transcribed spacer 1, and 5.8S ribosomal RNA". The record is from RNAcentral.